GUCAACUACCCCUCCCUGCCCGCUGAUGCGGUCGAGGAAGGGGCUUGUCUAAAGAUAGCCCUUGUUGACCAGAUCAUCAAUUGGAGUAAACAAAAUUGGUAAACGAUAUGCAAGAAUCAUAUAGUUACCUUCGAAUGUCGCCUCAGUUUGAAGCUCUAAGGAUACAAGUUAAAAGUCCUAAAGGGUUGUGGACAGCGCUUAUAUCAAAAACCUUGCAAUAUCUGAUCGAGAGGAAGACGGAUUCCUGAAAUUAUUCUAUACUUCAGGAUACGCAUUACCCUACGAAAGUAGG
RNAcentral lists this non-coding RNA (292 nucleotides) under Methanosarcina mazei Go1. Its description in RNAcentral is "Region of HEARO RNA that is 5' to ORF location". The stretch from base 1 to 238 matches the Rfam family "HNH endonuclease-associated RNA and ORF (HEARO) RNA". Lineage: Archaea; Methanobacteriati; Methanobacteriota; Methanomicrobia; Methanosarcinales; Methanosarcinaceae. The record is from RNAcentral.